This 828-nucleotide long non-coding RNA is filed under the name Salmo salar (Atlantic salmon). Its description in RNAcentral is "lncRNA (ENSSSAG00000093363.1)". The record is from RNAcentral. Lineage: Eukaryota; Metazoa; Chordata; Actinopteri; Salmoniformes; Salmonidae.
UGUAGAUGUCAUGCAGCUCCAAGCAACAGCAGAAAAAAGUUGUCCAGCUUUUUUAGGCCCUGGGCGAAAAACAGAAUAUGGCAGAAGAGAUGUACACAUUGGGAGGUUAAGGAAAGCUCCUGAAGAUUGAUUUUGAAAGAUGAAACAAUGAAUGGAGAGAAAGAGGAGAUGGAGGGGAGGAGAAGCAGUGAUCCAUUCAUCUUAAAUAUAUUCUCUGCCAGCUCUGCCCAAGACUUCCACCUUUGAAUGUUUCAUUAGUCCUCAUCCAUAACACUGGAUGCAUUCGAAAGCGGCAGAUCAGGACUUCAGAGGUGUCUCUCUCUCUCUCUGUCACUGACAGCUUCAUUUGAAGAACAAAACUGUAACAACAAGCAAUUUUUGGACAAUGACCCAACACACCUCCAGGCUGUGUCAGGGCUAUUUUACCAAGAAGUAGAGUGACGGAGGGCUGCAUCAGAUGACCUGGCCUCCACUAUCACCCAAUCUCAACCCACUUGAGAUGGUUUGGGAUAAGUUGGACCGUGGAGUGAAGGAAAAGCAGGCAACAAGUGCUCAGCAUAUGUGGCAACUCCUUCAAGACUGUUGGAAAAGCAUUCCAGGUGAAGCUGGUUGAGAGAAUGCCAAGAGUGUGCAAAUGCUGUCAUCAAGUGUCACGUCCUGACCAGUAUAAGGGUUAUUUGUUAUUGUAGUUUGGUCAGGACGUGGCGGAGGGUAUUUGUUUUAUGUGGUUCGGGGUGGUGUUUUUGGAGAAGGGUAUUUGAUUUAUGUAUUCUGGGGUUUUUGGGCACUGUUCCGUGUCUAUGUAUUUCUAUGUUUAGUCUAGUUGGU